Molecule: long non-coding RNA, 940 nt
Filed under: Marmota monax (woodchuck)
Lineage: Eukaryota; Metazoa; Chordata; Mammalia; Rodentia; Sciuridae
Source: RNAcentral
UCCGUAUUUUGGCCCUGUUUUCCUCAUUCAAAAAAUCAGACAUUCCAAGAAAGUUUCUUAAGUUCCAUCUUGGGUCACUUCAGCAGGCCGAUAGGAUCAACAUUUCUAAGCAGUAAGUGUAUCAUGAAAUAGAGAGUGGCCUACCUGUGAUUUGAGCUUAUUCACCAGAAAUGUAGAUUGUUGUUCAAUGUUCUUAAACUGAAAGAAGCUUGGUUUGUGUUUCAGUGGUUGUAUUAGUAAAUGGUGUUAACAUUUUGCCCAGGUUAGGAUGGGGGUGGUUGCUACAGUGGCAAAUGGUGAUACUAAAUAUCAGUGGAUGGCUUAUCUGUAUUUCAUUGAAGUAACAAAUGAUAAUACUGUUGUGGGUGUCAGUAUUGCCUAGCAUUAACACUUGGAUAUAGAAAUUUUUUUUCUUUUUUUCUUUUUUUUGUGUGUAUGGUAUUUUACAAGAAAGCAGCUUUUUCUUAAAAGUUCACUCUUUGGAACCUUGCUUGUCUAAGGAGCUGUCUUCUCUACUGUGUCAGGUCCUAGAUGAGUGCAAGUCAUGGUCACAGCUGAUCUUCAUUCAUAACCAUUCCCUCUCCAUCAGAACUGUUUGUCCUAAAUAUGUUUUUUUUUUUUUAAUUCUUCCACUAAUUUAAAAACCCUUGGUCAUUAGGUUUGCCCAGAGGCACUUGUUCCAGGAUUGUUCAUCCUGCUUUAGCCAUGCCCUUGUCACUUGGCAUUCUAAACUGAAACUGCUACUACUGCACAAUGCACAAUGUACAGGCCAACCUCAUCAGAUAUGGAAGAGAUGCUCAACCUGUAAUCCCAAGGAAGUAGUUUUCUAACUAUGGGAGGGGAUGGAUUUUAUGCUCCCUCAGUAGCCAGAUAGAAGUGGGGGGUAGGUUUUAGCUAAAUGAUGUUUGAUUAAGCAGACUUUUGGUUAUAGAGAGACUCU